AAGGCGUAAACCGAAAAGCCUUUUUUCAAAAGAGUAGGUA
This 40-nucleotide non-coding RNA is filed under the name Aquimarina agarilytica ZC1. Its description in RNAcentral is "DUF805b RNA". It matches the Rfam family "DUF805b RNA". Rfam says of the family: Bacteroidetes, Chlorobi (1 example), Proteobacteria. Lineage (Flavobacteria) The record is from RNAcentral. Lineage: Bacteria; Pseudomonadati; Bacteroidota; Flavobacteriia; Flavobacteriales; Flavobacteriaceae.